AUAAAACUCCCGCAGGCCGUAGGGCUACCAUAUGUACGCGUGCGUUUAUCCAAUGCACGAGUGUUACUCAGAAGAGGGAAACAAAUAAUAGCAAUCGCAGAGAAGAAUUGAAAUCUAGGGAUUCGAGGAGUUGUUUGAGAGAUGUCGUAUCUGCUUCCACACUUGCACUCAGGAUGGGCUGUGGAUCAGGCAAUCUUGGCGGAGGAAGAGCGCCUCGUCGUCAUCCGAUUCGGCCACGACUGGGACGAGACUUGCAUGCAGAUGGAUGAAGUGCUCGCAUCAGUUGCUGAGACAAUUAAGAACUUUGCUGUCAUAUAUCUUGUGGACAUCACUGAGGUGCCUGAUUUCAACACAAUGUAUGAGUUGUAUGAUCCAUCCACUGUCAUGUUCUUCUUCAGAAACAAGCACAUUAUGAUUGAUCUUGGAACUGGAAAUAACAACAAAAUUAAUUGGGCUCUCAAGGACAAGCAAGAGUUCAUUGACAUUAUUGAGACUGUCUACCGUGGGGCAAGGAAGGGUCGUGGUUUGGUUAUUGCUCCAAAAGAUUACUCCACCAAGUACCGCUACUAAGUGUAAGAAAAAUUAUUCAUUGGACUAUCCGACAAUGUAAGAACCUGUGAUGAAAACAAUGUUUAUGCAUAAAACUUGGCUUCAGAAAUUUGUAGAUUGGAAUUUCCUGGUUAACUAACUAGGAGUUUCUUAUGAUGGUAUGUUUACAUUUUUUGCCAUGUGUGCAGACAAUGUAUCUGACAUUUAUUUUGUGCUAGAACAGUGGAAUUUUUGCUUGUUCUUUAUAAGUUAAUUUUAGGUAAUCUUAUAGGAUAAAGGAUUGUUAUUGUUGCUUCAAAUAUUCUUUGAAGUAGCUUGGGUGUAGUGCAGAACACAUGCACUUCAGCUGUAAGAACAAGUCCUGGCACAUAAAAGGGCUGACAUUCUUGGCGAUGUAGAUGUUCCAUGUAAAAUUACAAAGAGCAUUAGAUAGUUGAUGUCUUGAUGAUUCGGUUGUAUAAAAGGUGGGAAUGCAUUAUGCAUUGUAAUGUUAGGCUUUUGAUCAGUGAGAGAUAUCUGCUCGAUUUUCCUCUCGCCCUAUGUUUCCUGACCUUGAUCACACUUCCCCCCAUUUACUG
RNAcentral lists this unclassified non-coding RNA (1127 nucleotides) under Hevea brasiliensis (rubber tree). The record is from RNAcentral. Lineage: Eukaryota; Viridiplantae; Streptophyta; Magnoliopsida; Malpighiales; Euphorbiaceae.